RNAcentral lists this ribosomal RNA (2900 nucleotides) under Klebsiella pneumoniae BIDMC 25. RNAcentral's name for it is "bacterial LSU rRNA". It matches the Rfam family "Bacterial large subunit ribosomal RNA". Lineage: Bacteria; Pseudomonadati; Pseudomonadota; Gammaproteobacteria; Enterobacterales; Enterobacteriaceae. The record is from RNAcentral.
UUAAGCGACUAAGCGUACACGGUGGAUGCCCUGGCAGUCAGAGGCGAUGAAGGACGUGCUAAUCUGCGAAAAGCGUCGGUAAGGUGAUAUGAACCGUUACAGCCGGCGAUGUCCGAAUGGGGAAACCCAGUGCAAUUCGUUGCACUAUCGUUAACUGAAUACAUAGGUUAACGAGGCGAACCGGGGGAACUGAAACAUCUAAGUACCCCGAGGAAAAGAAAUCAACCGAGAUUCCCCCAGUAGCGGCGAGCGAACGGGGAGCAGCCCAGAGUCUGAAUCAGCUUGUGUGUUAGUGGAACGGUCUGGAAAGUCCGACGGUACAGGGUGAUAGUCCCGUACACCAAAAUGCACAGGCUGUGAACUCGAAGAGUAGGGCGGGACACGUGGUAUCCUGUCUGAAUAUGGGGGGACCAUCCUCCAAGGCUAAAUACUCCUGACUGACCGAUAGUGAACCAGUACCGUGAGGGAAAGGCGAAAAGAACCCCGGCGAGGGGAGUGAAAAAGAACCUGAAACCGUGUACGUACAAGCAGUGGGAGCACCUUCGGGUGUGACUGCGUACCUUUUGUAUAAUGGGUCAGCGACUUAUAUUCUGUAGCAAGGUUAACCGUAUAGGGGAGCCGCAGGGAAACCGAGUCUUAACUGGGCGUUAAGUUGCAGGGUAUAGACCCGAAACCCGGUGAUCUAGCCAUGGGCAGGUUGAAGGUUGGGUAACACUAACUGGAGGACCGAACCGACUAAUGUUGAAAAAUUAGCGGAUGACUUGUGGCUGGGGGUGAAAGGCCAAUCAAACCGGGAGAUAGCUGGUUCUCCCCGAAAGCUAUUUAGGUAGCGCCUCGUGAAUUCAUCUUCGGGGGUAGAGCACUGUUUCGGCUAGGGGGUCAUCCCGACUUACCAACCCGAUGCAAACUACGAAUACCGAAGAAUGUUAUCACGGGAGACACACGGCGGGUGCUAACGUCCGUCGUGAAGAGGGAAACAACCCAGACCGCCAGCUAAGGUCCCAAAGUCAUGGUUAAGUGGGAAACGAUGUGGGAAGGCACAGACAGCCAGGAUGUUGGCUUAGAAGCAGCCAUCAUUUAAAGAAAGCGUAAUAGCUCACUGGUCGAGUCGGCCUGCGCGGAAGAUGUAACGGGGCUAAACCAUGCACCGAAGCUGCGGCAGCGACACUAUGUGUUGUUGGGUAGGGGAGCGUUCUGUAAGCCUGCGAAGGUGUGCUGUGAGGCAUGCUGGAGGUAUCAGAAGUGCGAAUGCUGACAUAAGUAACGAUAAAGCGGGUGAAAAGCCCGCUCGCCGGAAGACCAAGGGUUCCUGUCCAACGUUAAUCGGGGCAGGGUGAGUCGACCCCUAAGGCGAGGCCGAAAGGCGUAGUCGAUGGGAAACAGGUUAAUAUUCCUGUACUUGGUGUUACUGCGAAGGGGGGACGGAGAAGGCUAUGUUAGCCGGGCGACGGUUGUCCCGGUUUAAGCAUGUAGGCUGGUUGUCCAGGCAAAUCCGGAUAAUCAAGGCUGAGGUGUGAUGACGAGGUACUACGGUGCUGAAGUAACAAAUGCCCUGCUUCCAGGAAAAGCCUCUAAGCAUCAGGUAACAUCAAAUCGUACCCCAAACCGACACAGGUGGUCAGGUAGAGAAUACCAAGGCGCUUGAGAGAACUCGGGUGAAGGAACUAGGCAAAAUGGUGCCGUAACUUCGGGAGAAGGCACGCUGGUGUGUAGGUGAAGUCCCUGCGGAUGGAGCUGAGACCAGUCGAAGAUACCAGCUGGCUGCAACUGUUUAUUAAAAACACAGCACUGUGCAAACACGAAAGUGGACGUAUACGGUGUGACGCCUGCCCGGUGCCGGAAGGUUAAUUGAUGGGGUUAUCCGUAAGGAGAAGCUCUUGAUCGAAGCCCCGGUAAACGGCGGCCGUAACUAUAACGGUCCUAAGGUAGCGAAAUUCCUUGUCGGGUAAGUUCCGACCUGCACGAAUGGCGUAAUGAUGGCCAGGCUGUCUCCACCCGAGACUCAGUGAAAUUGAACUCGCUGUGAAGAUGCAGUGUACCCGCGGCAAGACGGAAAGACCCCGUGAACCUUUACUAUAGCUUGACACUGAACAUUGAGCCUUGAUGUGUAGGAUAGGUGGGAGGCUUUGAAGCGUGGACGCCAGUCUGCGUGGAGCCAACCUUGAAAUACCACCCUUUAAUGUUUGAUGUUCUAACGUUGGCCCCUGACCGGGGUUGCGGACAGUGUCUGGUGGGUAGUUUGACUGGGGCGGUCUCCUCCCAAAGCGUAACGGAGGAGCACGAAGGUUAGCUAAUCCUGGUCGGACAUCAGGAGGUUAGUGCAAUGGCAUAAGCUAGCUUGACUGCGAGCGUGACGGCGCGAGCAGGUGCGAAAGCAGGUCAUAGUGAUCCGGUGGUUCUGAAUGGAAGGGCCAUCGCUCAACGGAUAAAAGGUACUCCGGGGAUAACAGGCUGAUACCGCCCAAGAGUUCAUAUCGACGGCGGUGUUUGGCACCUCGAUGUCGGCUCAUCACAUCCUGGGGCUGAAGUAGGUCCCAAGGGUAUGGCUGUUCGCCAUUUAAAGUGGUACGCGAGCUGGGUUUAGAACGUCGUGAGACAGUUCGGUCCCUAUCUGCCGUGGGCGCUGGAGAAUUGAGGGGGGCUGCUCCUAGUACGAGAGGACCGGAGUGGACGCAUCACUGGUGUUCGGGUUGUCAUGCCAAUGGCACUGCCCGGUAGCUAAAUGCGGAAGAGAUAAGUGCUGAAAGCAUCUAAGCACGAAACUUGCCCCGAGAUGAGUUCUCCCUGAGACUUUAAGUCUCCUGAAGGAACGUUAAAGACGAUGACGUUGAUAGGCCGGGUGUGUAAGCGCAGCGAUGCGUUGAGCUAACCGGUACUAAUGAACCGUGAGGCUUAACCUU